This 292-nucleotide ribosomal RNA is filed under the name uncultured Verrucomicrobiota bacterium. RNAcentral describes it as "uncultured Verrucomicrobia bacterium partial 16S ribosomal RNA". The record is from RNAcentral. Lineage: Bacteria; Pseudomonadati; Verrucomicrobiota.
GGACUACUGGGGUAUCUAAUCCCGUUUGCUCCCCUAGCCUUCGCGCCUCAGCGUCAGGAGCUGUCCAGAGAUCCGCCUUCGCCACUGGUCUUCCUCACGAUAUCUACGCAUUUCACUGCUACACCGUGAAUUCCGAUCUCCUCUCCAGCCCUCUAGCAGAGCAGUAUCCAGUGCAAUUUCGGAGUUGAGCUCCGAGAUUUCACACCAGACUUACCCCACCGCCUACGCGCCCUUUACGCCCAAUGAAUCCGAACAACGCUUGAGACCUCUGUAUUACCGCGGCUGCUGGCAC